GCGAGGGUGGCGAAACUGGCAGACGCGCAUGCUUGAGGGGCAUGUGGAUAAUUAUCCAUAGGGGUUCGAGUCCCCUCCUUCGCACCA
RNAcentral lists this transfer RNA (87 nucleotides) under Alkalibaculum sporogenes. RNAcentral describes it as "Alkalibaculum sp. M08DMB tRNA-Leu". It matches the Rfam family "tRNA". From Rfam's summary of the family: Transfer RNA (tRNA) molecules are approximately 80 nucleotides in length. Their secondary structure includes four short double-helical elements and three loops (D, anti-codon, and T loops). Further hydrogen bonds mediate the characteristic L-shaped molecular structure. tRNAs have two regions of fundamental functional importance: the anti-codon, which is responsible for specific mRNA codon recognition, and the 3' end, to which the tRNAs corresponding amino acid is attached (by aminoacyl-tRNA synthetases). tRNAs cope with the degeneracy of the genetic code in two manners: having more than one tRNA (with a specific anti-codon) for a particular amino acid; and 'wobble' base-pairing, i.e. permitting non-standard base-pairing at the 3rd anti-codon position. The record is from RNAcentral. Lineage: Bacteria; Bacillati; Bacillota; Clostridia; Eubacteriales; Eubacteriaceae.